ACAGAUUACUUCGGUUUGAAGUCUUUUAUGACUGAGUGGCGGACGGGUGAGUAACGCGUGGGUAACCUGCCUCAUACAGGGGGAUAGCAGCUGGAAACGGCUGCUAAUACCGCAUAAGCGCACGGUAUCGCAUGAUACAGUGUGAAAAACUCCGGUGGUAUAAGAUGGACCCGCGUCUGAUUAGGUAGUUGGUGGGGUAACGGCCUACCAAGCCGACGAUCAGUAGCCGACCUGAGAGGGUGACCGGCCACAUUGGGACUGAGACACGGCCCAAACUCC
Molecule: ribosomal RNA, 279 nt
Filed under: uncultured Coprococcus sp.
Lineage: Bacteria; Bacillati; Bacillota; Clostridia; Lachnospirales; Lachnospiraceae
Description: partial 16S ribosomal RNA
Rfam family: Bacterial small subunit ribosomal RNA
Source: RNAcentral